AUUGAACGCUGGCGGCAGGCCUAACACAUGCAAGUCGAGCGGUAACAGAUCUAGCUUGCUAGAUGCUGACGAGCGGCGGACGGGUGAGUAACGCGUAGGAAUCUACCUGAUAGUGGGGGAUAGCCCAGAGAAAUUUGGAUUAAUACCGCAUACGCCCUACGGGGGAAAGGAGGGGAUCUUCGGACCUUUCGCUAUCAGAUGAGCCUGCGUGGGAUUAGCUAGUUGGUGAGGUAAAGGCUCACCAAGGCGACGAUCUCUAGCUGGUCUGAGAGGAUGAUCAGCCACACUGGGACUGAGACACGGCCCAGACUCCUACGGGAGCAGCAGUGGGGAAUAUUGGACAAUGGGGGCAACCCUGAUCCAGCCAUGCCGCGUG
This 376-nucleotide ribosomal RNA is filed under the name uncultured bacterium. RNAcentral's name for it is "bacterial SSU rRNA". It matches the Rfam family "Bacterial small subunit ribosomal RNA", at positions 30 to 403 of the family's 1533-position model. The record is from RNAcentral.